GAUGAACGCUGGCGGCGUGCCUAAUACAUGCAAGUCGAGCGAACAGACGAGGAGCUUGCUCCUCUGACGUUAGCGGCGGACGGGUGAGUAACACGUGGAUAACCUACCUAUAAGACUGGGAUAACUUCGGGAAACCGGAGCUAAUACCGGAUAACAUAUUGAACCGCAUGGUUCAAUAGUGAAAGACGGUUUUGCUGUCACUUAUAGAUGGAUCCGCGCCGCAUUAGCUAGUUGGUAAGGUAACGGCUUACCAAGGCGACGAUGCGUAGCCGACCUGAGAGGGUGAUCGGCCACACUGGAACUGAGACACGGUCCAGACUCCUACGGGAGGCAGCAGUAGGGAAUCUUCCGCAAUGGGCGAAAGCUUGACGGAGCAACGCCGCGUGAGUGAUGAAGGUCUUCGGAUCGUAAAACUCUGUUAUUAGGGAAGAACAAAUGUGUAAGUAACUAUGCACGUCUUGACGGUACCUAAUCAGAAAGCCACGGCUAACUACGU
This 496-nucleotide ribosomal RNA is filed under the name uncultured bacterium. Its description in RNAcentral is "partial 16S ribosomal RNA". It matches the Rfam family "Bacterial small subunit ribosomal RNA", at positions 28 to 506 of the family's 1533-position model. The record is from RNAcentral.